UUCUUCAUGUUCCGCUCCUAUUUUAGGCUUGGGACUGUAUAGCUGCUUAGUCCUGGGAAGGACUUAGGGGCUGACUGGUCCAGCCACACCAUUUCAUGAUGGCUCAGAAAAGGAAGGUAACUUGCCCAGUGUUACACAGACAGCUAGUGACAAAGUCCAGACUAAAACCUUCAUUUCCUCACUCCCAUUGCAGUGUUAUUUCCGUCUCUUCAUAUGGCUUCAAAAGUGCAUGUUUCCCAGAUCCCUCCUGUAAGACUUUGUCCCUGGACCCAGAGCUGUAGGCCCUUUGGACAGAAGCCAGCGCCUCAAGGAGAGGCAGGAGAGAAGCACCUGGGGAGGCUGGGGGAUGGGCCUGCCCUGGGAGUUAAUUUUAUUCACUUCAGUGGGACCAAAUGGAAUCGGAGCAUUAACGUGGUGAGUGUGCCUCAGAGCUGUCUAAACCAGCCGUGAAUACUAACCAGGGAGCUUAGAGGGAGCUAAAAAUAACUGGCUAAUCACCACCAGGAAGAAUUAACAAGGACUCUGAAGAAAGGAAAAUGUCUUAAUAUUCCAUCUCUCUGGCAGCUGGGCUCCAGCUGGGACUGAAGUCUCCUCCUGGCUUCCAUAGGAUGGCAGGAAUAUCACUUCCUCUGGGUUGGAGUGAGGAUCAAACCAUCUAACACAGGUAAGAGCACUUCAUUCAUUGUAACAAGCAGUACAGAUAUUAAUAACUCUUAUCCUGUGGCAAGAGACCCACAUAAGCCAUUCAGGACUGGGCAAUCUUUCCAGUGCACAAAUCAGGAUAAAGAAGCAUUUAAUGCUUAGCCCCCGAGUCUACACCUACUUCCCACUACAGUCCUCCUUGGCUGGGAGGGUCUCCUCAUCCUACUUUUUUUGCUGUGUAUUCUGGCUCCAGGAAUCUAGUGACUGGGUCCACCACCACCAUGGCCAGUGGGAAGGGUGUAUUGGUAAGUUGCAAGGAGGCCAAUUUCUGGAUGCCAUUGAGUCUCUGUGCUGUUUUCUCACAGGCAGAGAGGCCCCUCCUGCAGCGUGAGUCACAUGUAAUCCCUAGGGAAGAGGGCAGUCUCAAUUUUAGAAGAGAAGGACUUCAGAGGAUUCUUCCUGGGGCACUAGAGAAAGCUGGAUUUGGAGUAAAAAAAAAUCCACUGGUCUUUUAUUGUUUCCUGCUCCAGAUCACUAGAUUCUUUGUGUGUGUGUGCGUGUGCGCCUGUCUGACAUUAUUCAAAACUCCUAGAUGGCAUAACGGCGUUAAAAAAGAAAAGAGUAGAAAUCAGAAAACCCCAUUAAAAGUGCGGCUGUGCCACUCCCUAGUUGUAUGAUAUUGGGAAAUAAUUUAAGAACUCUGAACUUCAUCUGGUAAGGGGAGAAAGGGGUUCUCCUUAUUGUCUCACGGGGCUGCUGUGGAGUUCAUUUGAGGUAAUAUACGGGUGAGCAGUUAUGAACUGUGUCAUCUCAUUCAGAUAUGAGGGUAAUUCGUUUUUUCAGCUGUUACAUAGAUGAUGAGUCAUUCAUAGCUUGUAUUAGCAUCUUUUCUUUUUUGGUCAAGUUUAUUAAGGCAUAAAUUAUUGCAUAAAGUUUGCCCUUUUCAGAAUUUUGACAAAAACUCAGUUGUGCAAGCACCAGUACAAAGGCAAUCGCUGAUUUGUUUUCUGCCUUUAUAGUUUUUUCAGAAUGUCAUAUAAAUAGAAUCUUACAGCAGGAAGCCUUUUGAGUCUGGCUGUUUUUCACUUAGCGUAAUGCAUUGAGAUUCGUCCAGGUUAACGUAACUAUCCGUGAGCUCGUUCCUUUUUACUGCUGAGUAGUGUUUCAUUCUAGAGAUGUAUUAUACUUUCUUUAUCCAUUUGGGUUGUUUCCAUGAAUAAACCGUUGUUAACAUUUGUAUACAGAGUUUUGUAUGAUCAUAAUCUUUUAUUUCUUUUGGGCAGAUAACUAGGAGUGGGAUUGCUGGAUCAUAUGGCUGGUUUUUGUUUAACUUCAUAAGAAACUGACAAGGUUUUUAAAAAGUUGUUGUAGCAUUUUGCAUUCUAGCACAGCACCUUUUAAGUUUAUUUGAAAAAACCCUCUUGUAUUUAAUUUAAUUUUAUCCUCCAAGCAGCUCUGUGGGAUAGGGCAGGUAAAUAUUUCUAUUCUUUUGCAAUAGGUGGGAAUAUGAGAGCUAAAAAGGAGAAAUGUCUGGUCAAAAGUCAAUGUGGCAGAGCUGCUACUGUUCCCAAUAUAUGAUCCUCUCCCAUUCUUCCUUUGAGCAAAGAGUCUCUUGAUCCCCACUGAGUUUUGGCUAAGCACAGAGCACCCAUCCAGAACCUACAUUUCCUGGCUUCUCUUUCAUGGAGGAGUGGGCCAUGUGACUAGAAUUUGGCCAGUGGGAUAUGAGUAGGAAUACUUCAAUUUGCUUCCUACAGGAUGACUUUCUUUUCUUUCUUUUUAAAAAAAAUUUUUUUUUUUUUUUUGAGACGGAGUUUCGCUCUUGUUCCCCAGGCUGGAGUGCAGUGGCGCGACGUCGGCUCACCGCAACCUCUGCCACCUGGGUUCAGGCAAUUCUCCUGCCUCAGCCUCCCGAGUAGCUGGGAUUACAGGCACGCGCCACCACACCCAGCUAAUUUUUUGUAUUUUUAGUAGAGAUGGGGUUUCACCAUGUUGACCAGGAUGGUCUCCAUCUCUUGACCUCAUGAUCCACCCGCCUUGGCCUCCCAAAGUGCUGGGAUUACAGCUGUGAGCCACUGCGCCCGGCCCAAAUUUUUUUAUUUUUGAGACAGAGUUUUGCUCUAUUGCCUAGGUUGGAGUGCAGUGGUAUGAUCUCAGCUCAUUGCAGCCUCUGCCUCCAGGGUUCAAGUGAUUCUUCUAACUCAGCCUCCUGAGUAGCUGGGAGUAUAGGCAUGCACCACCACACCUAGCUAAUUUUUGUAUUUUUUUUUUAGUAGGGAUGGGGUUUUGCCAUGUUAUCCAGGCUGGUCUUGAACUCCUGACCUCAAGUGAUCCACCUGCCUCAGCCUCCCAAAAUGCUGAGAUUACAAAUGUGAGCCAUUGCACCUGGCCAGGUCUGACUUUCUAUACUAACUAUUCUCUUUCCUGCUAGCUGGAAUGUGGUUGUGGCUGCGACUUAACUCGGAUUUGCAGAUGGAGACAGUACAAAGUAGAAGACUGAUCUCAUAGAACAGAGCUGCCCUGACAGCCCGGGCUGCCGAGACUAUUACGUGUCUUUUACUCACUCCAUUGUAAUUUUGGGGUCUCUUUGUUACUUCAGCCUAACAUUUACCCUGGCUAAUACAGUCCCGUAUCACGUUAGUGGGAACACGUUAUAGCCGGUUCACACAACUUCAUUCAUCUUAUUCAAAAUAUUAAUGAGGAAAAAAUUGGCUUUCCUAAAAUAUAGAUAUGCCAUAGCUAUACCAAUCCCCGGAUCUAACGGUUUGCUCACCCCUACUGAGUCCAGGAAGUAGUAUUAAAAUAAUGAAUUUAUUUUCCGUGCACACUUAUUAACUCCUAGUGAUCUCAUGUCUUCUAAUCUUCCCAAGCAAGCAUCUGCAUUUCUCUAUGUGCAUACCUUUCCAAUGAAUGUCUGGCCUACUGGUCUAUGAUGAGAGGCAUUUGUUUUAUUCAUCCAGAUGUUCAUCUGGAGAGCUAGCAAGAAGUGAGAUCGUUAGAGGUGAGAAUGGUUACUCAAAGACUGUAGAGGUGAAACAGAGGCACUUGGACUUCUGGGGUUAAGCAGGAGGCAGAAGGGGACUGAGAAGAUAAAAUACAGUUUAAAGAAGACGCUCUGACAGUUGUGUGGUGAGUAGAUUGGAGGAGAAGGGUCCAAGAGCGGGCGCCCCUUCAGGAGGUGUCUCAGUCCAUUCAGGCUCCUAUAACAAAAAUAGCAGAGACGGGGUGGCUUUAAAACCCCGGCAUUUAUUCUCAGAGUCCUGGAGGCUGGGAAGUUGAACAUGAAGGUACCUGCUGACCUGGUGUCCGGUGAGGGCCCGCCUCCUUCCUCAUACCCAGCUGUCUUCUCACUGUGUGCUCACGUGGCACAAGGACUGAGGGAGUGCUCUGGGGUCUCUUAUCACAACACUAAUCCCACACAAGACAGCUGAGCCCAAAGGCCUCCCAAAGGCCACACCUCUUCAUGCCAUCAUCUUGGUGGUGAGGAUGUCAACAUAUGAGUUUUGAAAGGACGCAUUGAGUCCACACCAAGAAAAAAUUGUGAUAGUGUAGAUAUGGGAGCUGGAGAGUGUGAAGGAAGAGCUCGGUGAGUGUGCAUAGUGUGAGAGGAAAAGGAGCAGGCAGUGAGGAGGAAGUGCAUGCGCAAGGCUCCGCUUACAGGGCCCCUGAACCAGGCUGUAUAGAGCCUCUCCCAGGGCCACCCACAGCCCCCACUCGUUCCCUUUCCUGCUUUCCUGGUGAGUACUCACUAGCAACUCCAUACUUGUUCAGUCUUCAGAUCAUGGGACAAGAGCCAAACAGGGCCUGACCUAUCCUCUAGUAACACAAAACAUGCUGGCCCGGGCUCCUGAAUACCAGAGCAGCAGGCGAAGGAGUGGGGAGUCUCUGACGGGUCAUGGGGAGCACCGGGGGCUUAAAGAAGAGUGUGUCUUACUGAAAGUGGGGUUUGAGCUAGUAGAGCAAAUCCCACCAAAUAAUCACAUAUAAGGAAGUGAUUAGAUUUAUCUGGGUUAUUAAAUUAAUUCAAUUUGUCUAGGACCUAAAUGCAGUCUUGAAGACGGGAAGUACAGCUGCUUGGAGCCUAUGGAUGAAGAUAAGAGAAAAAGGUUAAGAAGGGGACAUGGAUGAAUUUGGAGAACAUCAUCCUCAGCAAACUGACACAAGAACAGAAAAUGAAACACCGCAUAUUCUCACUCAUAGGCGGGUGAUGAAAAAUGAGAACACAUGGACACAGAAAGGGGAGUACUAAAC
Callithrix jacchus (white-tufted-ear marmoset) is the source of this 4893-nucleotide non-coding RNA. The record is from RefSeq and is a predicted model, not a curated record. NCBI's taxonomy places the organism in Eukaryota, Metazoa, Chordata, Mammalia, Primates, Cebidae.